Pongo pygmaeus (Bornean orangutan) is the source of this 6056-nucleotide RNA transcript. It is a transcript of the gene named ARF like GTPase 2 binding protein, with no coding region annotated. Lineage: Eukaryota; Metazoa; Chordata; Mammalia; Primates; Hominidae. The record is from RefSeq and is a predicted model, not a curated record. The transcript has 6 exons.
AAAACAUUUAGUAUAUUCAAGUCAAUUUUUAAUUUUUGCUACAAGUGGAAAAAGGCCAUUCUGUAUUCAGGAGAAAACGUUCUGAUUUCCAAGAAUAUGGUUUAACAACCCAGGGAUUAGGGGCUAUAUAGCAUGAUGGUUGAAAUAGGCCCUUUGGAGUGGGACUGGACCCAGGUCCCACUAAUGCUUGGUUUCCCAGUCUGUAAAAUGGAGAUACUACCCACCUCAUACCGGUUUUUUGUUUUUAUAGGGUCUCAAAUAUUUCAAAAGGAGACAAUGUAUUUAUAAAUGUUUAGCACACUAUCUGAUACAUCCUUGAGUGAGUGGGUACUUUUUAUCUUUAUCCCCAUUUGUUCCUAGAGUCAAUAAGGGUAGUGAAGUGGAUUAAAAGAUGGCCACAAAUUAUUUGACAUCCCUCCCGUCAAGAAAUGAGGUUUAUGUCUACUCUCCUUAAAUUUGGGUGGCUCUGUGUCUGCUUGAUCAGUGGAACACAGUGGAAGGGAUAUUGUGCCAGUUUCCAGUACCAGGCCUUUAAGUGACUGCCAGCUUACAUUUCAGUGUCUCUUGAAACACUUGCUCUUGGACCCAGCACCAUGGUGUGAGAAAACCCAAGAAUCCCCUGAAUCCUAUACAUGGAGAGGAACUGAAACCCCCCAAACCCCGGCCCCAGUUCUCCAGCCAGUGUCCACAACUGAGAGCCAAGAGCCACCACUAAUUUGCCAGCCAUGUGAGUAAACUUGGAGGAAGCUCCUCUAGUCCAUUCCAGCUGCCCCAGCCGACACCAACUGGAAUAGAGACUAGCUGGCCCUGCCCAAAUUACAGAUUAGUGAGCAAAAUGGUUGUUUCAAGCCACUAAAUUUUCAGGUGGUUUGUAACAGCAAUAGAUAACCAGAACAGAUUAAAUCAAGGUGUGUUCCUCCUCCACUCCAUCAAUGACUUAGGAAGGGUAGGCAAAUUCAUUUUGUCCAGAAAUGUGUGGUAUAUAGAGAAAGUAGGUCAUGAAGAAACUCUGAGUUUGCUGUGAGCUGUGUGACCAGGGCUUGACUAAACAACUCAGUCCAGUAAUUCAGCAAACCUUUUAAAAUGCCUAUCUUCCACUUGGUGCUAAACAGAGUAACUCAUAAUUGAUGCCACCUGACCGGGUGUGGUGGCUCACACCUGUAAUCCCAACACUUUGGGAGGCCGAGGCGGGCAGACCACCAGAGGUCAGGAGUUCGAGACCACGCUGGCCAACAUGGUGAAGCCCUGUCUCUACUAAAAAUACAAAAAUUAGCCGGGUGUGGUGGCACGCACAUGUAAUCCCAGCUACUUAGGAGGCUGAGGCAGGAGAAUCCCUUAAAUCCGGGAGGCAGAGGUUGCAGUGAGCCGAGAUUGCGCCACUGCACUCCAGCCUGGGCGACAGAGCAAGACUCCGUCUCAAAAAAUAAAUAGGCCGGGCGCAGUGGCUCACACCUGUAAUCCCAGCACUUUGGGAGGCCAAGGCGGGCGGAUCACCUGAGGUCGGGAGUUCAAGACCAGCCUGACCAACAUAGAGAAACCCCGUCUCUACUAAAACAAAAAAAUUAGGCAUGGUGGCGCAUGACUGUAAUCCCAGCUACGUGGGAGGCUGAGGCAGGAGAAUCGCUUGAACCCGGUAGGCAGAGGUUGCGUUGAGCCGAGAUCGCACCAUUGCACUCUAGCCCAGGCAACAAGAGCAAAACUCCAUCUCAAUAAAUAAAUAAAUAAAUUAGUUAGUAAUAAUUGAUGUCACCUUGGUCACAGCUGUCACACCCGACUGUGUCUUUGUAACCAUCUUUGUUCCAGAUCCCACGGAUAUCUAUUUUACGUCCAUUCAAAGAUGUCUGCUAGGCCGGGCGUGGUGGCCCACACCUGUAAUCCUAGCCCUUUUGGAGGCCAAGGUAGGUGGUUCACCUGAGGUCAGGAGUUCGAGACCAGCCUGGCCAACAUGGUGAAACUCUGUCUCUACUAAAAAUACAAAAAUAGCCGGGCAUGGUGGCGGGUACUUGCAAUCCCAGCUACUCGGGAGGCCGAGGCACGAGAAUCGCUUGAACCUGGGAGGCGGAGGUUGUAGCCAGCCGAGAUCGUGCCACUGCACUCCAGCCUGGGCGACAGAGCAAGACUCCGUCUCAAAAAAAUAAAAAAUGUCUGCUAACCCAUUCUGACUGGCCACCUGACCCUCAGUUCAUACCUUAAACCCCUCUAGUUCCUCUAGUCAUAUACCACACUUUGGCCAAAAGGUAUCAUGCAACUAAAGAGACACAAUGCUUAGUUGUCCAAUCAAGAGAAAUCAGCUCAAACGAAUCCUUUUUCAAAGUUUGGCAGUUUUGAAGAGGCCUUUUCCUGAAAGGUAUCUGAUUCCUGAUUGCGUGGCUCAAAAUAGUUCUUCAAUUCUCAUCUUGUAUAAUUAGUCAAGAAACCAAUUACUGCCAAGUAAUCUUUAUGAUGCGAAGAUUAUAAUGUAAAUUACAAGACAUCUACCUCUUGCGAUAGGGCUUUCCUUCCACGAGGGGUAAGAACUGUCUUGAAAUCAGACGUCAGCAUCACCUGGUUCAAGGGAUAAGGGACUGGCUCUCCAGCGACUUGGCAACUUACAAGCGCUCUUCAAACACGCCUUAAACUACUUAUUUAAUCUUCCACAGUCAGGGAGGCGCAAUUUAUUCUCGAGUUGCGAGUGAGAAAAUUCAGGCUCGUGGCUUCGAUUCCUUCAUCCGUAAAAUGAGGCGACGUGAGACCGAGUUGCCACACAACGCGUGCUCGCCGAGGCCCCGCAUCCCUCCGCACUCCCUUCCGGGACUUCCUCUCCCUGUCUUGCCCGGCCCCGGCAUCUGUAAGGCGCGCCUGUGACUGGCUGCCGGCCGGCCGCGAGGCGGUGGAAGGGGUUGCGGUGGCCAUGGUGACGGGAGGCGGGGCGCCGCGCCCCUCCGGCAGUCACCGAGGCCUGGACCUGCGGCGUUGGCGGCGCGCGCAGAGGACCAGGCGGGGCGUAGAGGCUGGGCCGACGCGUGGCGGCAGCGGGUAUCCAAGGCCGGACCUGGCGCGCAGGCGCUGACCCGACCUAGCAGUGAGCGGGCCGCGGCCUUGGCUGAGAGGCCUUAACCCCGCCGGCCGCCGCGCCCUGCAUGCGAGUUGGGCCGCGGGCGGGGUUGGAGCCUACUCGGGGCGACGGCGAUGGACGCCUUAGAAGAAGAGAGCUUUGCGCUGUCUUUCUCCUCCACCUCUGAUGCAGAAUUUGAUGCUGUGGUUGGAUAUUUAGAGGACAUUAUCAUGGAUGACGAGUUCCAGUUAUUACAGAGAAAUUUCAUGGACAAGUACUACCUGGAGUUUGAAGACACAGAAGAGAAUAAACUCAUCUACACACCUAUUUUUAAUGAAUAUAUUUCUUUGGUAGAAAAAUAUAUUGAAGAACAGCUGCUGCAGCGGAUUCCUGGGUUCAACAUGGCAGCUUUCACCACAACAUUGCAGCACCAUAAGGAUGAAGUGGCUGGUGACAUAUUCGACAUGCUGCUCACCUUCACAGAUUUUCUGGCUUUUAAAGAAAUGUUUUUGGACUACAGAGCAGUAAGUUACUACUCCUGUUUAUUUAGCCACUUUGAGCUACUUAGAAAAUUCCAGGGAGAAAUACCGAACAUGAACCUCCCGCGCUUCCCCCAUCAUUCUCCCUUCAAACUGGCCAAUGAGGCAUCAGAAGAGUGAGCUGCUAUUCUAUUGUGGCUGGGACCUUCUCAUGUUUUCAUGAAACAAGCCCCAGGUACCAUCUUAGAGUUCCUAAUCAGAAGGACAAAACCCAAAAAGCAGGUCUCAGGUCUCAUUCUGCCUUGCCUUUCUUUUAUUUAUUUAUUUUUUUUUUGAGACAGAGUUUUGCUCUUGUCACCCAGGCUGGAGUACAGUGGCACGAUCUUGGCUCACUGGAACCUCUGCCUUCCAGGAGAAUCACUUGAGCCUAGGAGUUUGGGGCUGUAUUCACAGCAGUGGUGCCUGUGAGUAGCCACUGCACUCCAGCCUGGGCAACAUAGCAAGACCCCUAUCUCAAAAAAAAAAAAAAAAAAAAAGAAAGAAAAAUGUUUUCCAGUGACGGGAGGUACCUUUUAAGAGUGCAUUUUAAGAAUGACCAGGGCCAGGCUGGACACAGUGGCUCAUACUUACAAUUCCAGCACUUUGGGAGGCCAAGGCAGGAGAAUCACUCGAGCCCAGGAGUUCAAGACCAGCCUAAGUGACAUACCAAGACCCUGUCUCUACAAAAAUAAAAAUAAAAAAGUUAGCCAGCUGUAGUGGUACACACCUGUAGUCCUAGCUACUCAGGAGGCUGAGGCAGGAGGACUACUUGAGCCCAGGAAUUCCAGGCAGCAGUUAGCUAUGAUCAAGCCACUGUACUCCAGCCUGGGUGAUAGAGCAAGACCCUACCUCUUUAAAAAUAAUAUUUAAAAAAAUUAAGACUAGGGCAAGCCAGUAUUGAGCAGAAAUGCAGAAUAACCAAUAACCUGUGUUCCCUUCCUAUGUACUGUGGAGGUCCACGUUCCCAACUUCAGCUCUGCCUACCCCAUAUCAGAGGCAAGAUUCCAAGCCAGGACUCUUUCUAGUCCUUCCUUUUGGUUGUUUUCUCAUAUAGGAAAAAGAAGGCCGAGGACUGGACUUAAGCAGUGGCUUAGUGGUGACUUCGUUGUGCAAAUCAUCUUCUCUGCCAGCUUCCCAGAACAAUCUGCGGCACUAGGUCCUACCUCCAGCCAAUGAAUGGGAUCAUUCUGGAUGUCACCAGCCCAGUAGGCUCAGCUCAUGAUGACAGAACACAUCUUGGAAAGACUGACUCUGUUAUGUAACUCUUCAUUUAUGUUAAGUAUUGAUAGGUCAAAACCAAAAUGACCUAACCCUCCUGGACCUAUUUAUCCUGAAACAACACCUUGUAUUCAUUAACCAUAGUACUCCUCCGCACCUCAAGUAGACACCUCUCUCAGGAGCUUCUGAGUCAGACGCCUCUGGAGCGAGCCCUAUGUCAGGCACUCCACCUGGGGGGCCCUUCCCCAGCAUACCUGCUGGUGUGUAAGUGUGGACUAACCUGCCGCCACCACCCUCUGUUCCAGCAGGUCCUGCAUGAAUCUUUGUGCACUUGCACCUCUUUUUCACAUGGGCCACAGUUUCAGUACUUCAGCCUCAGUGGGGUUCCUGAUGUUUAUCUAGGGUGUUACUCAAGCCCAGUUUGAGAUUUUGGAAUCUCCUGUGGUCACAUCUUGUCUCGGCUGUAGGAAUCAACAGAAGGAGACGUCCUCUACAUAAAAGCUCCAUGUGAAAAGCUACUGUUAGUCUUAACAUUUGCAGUCCUUGUGUCACUGUCUUCUGGUCCUGAUGUAGUCCCACUGUUUCUAGAAGUCUCUUUUAAGCAUUAUUUUUGAAAAAAAUAUAGUUUUAUAGAUGAAUACUCAGGCUAACCUAGUGGAUGUGAUCUUGGAACUUCCGUGAUUAUCCACUUAAAGAUCAAAGUAUUAUAUGCUGUGUGCUUUUUCGGUGUUAGUACUGUGAAGGCAAAAAUGCUUUCUACAUUGGCAUUCAUUCCUAUUUUACUGGGCACCUAUGAAUGUAUGCUGUGUGCUUGAAAUAGACUAAAACAUAUUCCUAUAGCAUGUUAGUGUGUUUGCAUGUUUGCUGAAAAUCCUUUGUGUAUAAACCAGUUUGUAAGGUUCUCUGGGUUAGGUAGGGACUCUGCAGUUUCUUCCUGUCAAAAUCUCUUCUACCAAGAUGGUGUUCCACUGUCCAGCCCAGCAUGAGUAGCAGGUAGAGCACAGCUUUACUGGCUGUUUGUAUGCUUUGAUUUAGUGCAAUGUGUGGUAGAUUACUUAUCAGAAAACAUAUAUGUCAUCUCUAGAACAAAGAAAAAGCAUAGUAGUUCAAUUCCCAGUGUGUCCCUUUGAUUUUUUUUAAUAGUAAAAAUAAGAAUCUGUACUGACUUUUCACUUGGCCAUUCUGGUUUUAAAGGACAAGCUACAAGCUCUGUGUUUUUCUGUACUGAUGUGUCACUUAUUAAAUACUUUUGUACCAUGAGUAAAAUUUUAGGUGUUUUGCAAGAA